This 66-nucleotide transfer RNA is filed under the name Mytella strigata. RNAcentral describes it as "Musculus strigatus tRNA-Tyr". The record is from RNAcentral. Lineage: Eukaryota; Metazoa; Mollusca; Bivalvia; Mytilida; Mytilidae.
UGUAAAAUGGCGGAAGUUUAUUAAGCGGUAAAUUGUAAAUUUAUUUAGGGAUGUUUCCUUUUAUAG